UCCCUGGUGGUCCAGUGGUUAGGAAUCUGUCUGCUAACGCGGCGGACUCAGGUUUGAUUCCUGUUCAGGGAA
RNAcentral lists this transfer RNA (72 nucleotides) under Bos taurus (domestic cattle). It matches the Rfam family "tRNA". Rfam says of the family: Transfer RNA (tRNA) molecules are approximately 80 nucleotides in length. Their secondary structure includes four short double-helical elements and three loops (D, anti-codon, and T loops). Further hydrogen bonds mediate the characteristic L-shaped molecular structure. tRNAs have two regions of fundamental functional importance: the anti-codon, which is responsible for specific mRNA codon recognition, and the 3' end, to which the tRNAs corresponding amino acid is attached (by aminoacyl-tRNA synthetases). tRNAs cope with the degeneracy of the genetic code in two manners: having more than one tRNA (with a specific anti-codon) for a particular amino acid; and 'wobble' base-pairing, i.e. permitting non-standard base-pairing at the 3rd anti-codon position. The record is from Rfam by way of RNAcentral. Lineage: Eukaryota; Metazoa; Chordata; Mammalia; Artiodactyla; Bovidae.